GCUUCCGUAGCUCAGUUGGUUAGAGCUUCGUACUAAUAUUUCCGCCUCAACAGCGAAAUCUUGGUAAUGCGAAGGUCGCAGGUUCAAGCCCUGCCGGGAGCA
This 102-nucleotide transfer RNA is filed under the name Trichoderma harzianum. RNAcentral's name for it is "Hypocrea lixii tRNA". It matches the Rfam family "tRNA". From Rfam's summary of the family: Transfer RNA (tRNA) molecules are approximately 80 nucleotides in length. Their secondary structure includes four short double-helical elements and three loops (D, anti-codon, and T loops). The record is from Rfam by way of RNAcentral. RNAcentral also lists the same sequence under 4 other names. Lineage: Eukaryota; Fungi; Ascomycota; Sordariomycetes; Hypocreales; Hypocreaceae.